GUCGACGGUUGGUAGCAAUACCAAUAGUGGCGCACGGGUGCGUAACGCGUAACCAACCUACCCGAAUCUGGGGGAUAGCCCGCCGAAAGGCGGAUUAAUACCGCAUAAAACUGCAGCCUGGCAUCAGGUAACAGUUAAAGAUUUAUUGGAUUCGGAUGGGGUUGCGUGCCAUUAGCUAGUUGGCGGGGUAACGGCCCACCAAGGCGACGAUGGCUAGGGGAGCUGAGAGGCUGGUCCCCCACACGGGCACUGAGAUACGGGCCCGACUCCUACGGGAGGCAGCAGUAGGGAAUAUUGGGCAAUGGACGCGAGUCUGACCCAGCCAUGCCGCGUGCAGGAUGAGGGCUUUCUGAGUCGUAAACUGCUUUACCAGGGAAGAAAAAAGGGGAUGCGUCCUCUACUGACGGUACCUGGUGAAUAAGCACCGGCUAACUCCGUGCCAGCAGCCGCGGUAAUACGGAGGGUGCAAGCGUUGUCCGGAUUUAUUGGGUUUAAAGGGUGCGUAGGCGGCUGAUUAAGUCUGGGGUGAAAGCCCGUUGCUCAACAACGGAACUGCCCUGGAAACUGGUUAGCUUGAGUACAGACGAGGGUGGCGGAAUGGAUACUGUAGCGGUGAAAUGCAUAGAUAGUAUCCAGAACCCCGAUUGCGAAGGCAGCUGCCUAGACUGUAACUGACGCUGAGGCACGAAAGCGUGGGGAGCGAACAGGA
RNAcentral lists this ribosomal RNA (709 nucleotides) under uncultured bacterium. RNAcentral describes it as "bacterial SSU rRNA". It matches the Rfam family "Bacterial small subunit ribosomal RNA", at positions 61 to 777 of the family's 1533-position model. The record is from RNAcentral.